This 433-nucleotide ribosomal RNA is filed under the name uncultured bacterium. RNAcentral describes it as "partial 16S ribosomal RNA". It matches the Rfam family "Bacterial small subunit ribosomal RNA", at positions 30 to 507 of the family's 1533-position model. The record is from RNAcentral.
AACGAACGCUGGCGGCAUGCCUAACACAUGCAAGUCGAACGAGACCUUCGGGUCUAGUGGCGCACGGGUGCGUAACGCGUGGGAACCUGCCCUUAGGUUCGGAAUAACUCCCCGAAAGGGGUGCUAAUACCGGAUAAUGUCUUCGGACCAAAGAUUUAUCGCCUUUGGAUGGGCCCGCGUUGGAUUAGCUAGUUGGUAGGGUAAAAGCCUACCAAGGCGACGAUCCAUAGCUGGUCUGAGAGGAUGAUCAGCCACACUGGGACUGAGACACGGCCCAGACGAGAACGGGAGGCAGCAGGGGGGAAUAGUGGACAAGGGGCUAAAGGCUGAACCAGAAAUGGCGCGGGAGUGAGAAAGGCCUUAGGGUUGUAAAGCGCGUGUACCAGGGAUGAGAAGGAAAGGACAGGGAGAAUAAGAUGAGGAGAAAUCAGUG